GAUUUUCAUAUACUUAAGCCAAUCGUAUUUUGAGUUUGCCCUGUUGGGCGUAUUCUUUGAUGGGACAGAGCCUUCUGACUGGCCCAGCCACCUACUUUAUGGACCAGUUAGUAUACGGUGGCCGACAAGCGAAACUAGCUAGCAUCACAAAACUGUAGCAGUUUCGUUGGUUCAAAUUUUUUUAGUGUUUAAGAUGUAAAUUCAGUGAAAGAAUGGAGUGUUCUUCAAAUGAUGAGCAGCUUUUGGUAAGUUCAAUGGAUGUUUAGCAUUUUAGUAACAUGAUAUUUCUAGCUGUUAGCCUACUGCUUGCUUUAGCUAGGUUGUUGCUGCUGGUGUUAAAUAUUUGAGCAGUGUCAGUGGCUGCUGUGCCUCUGUGUAUGCGUGGUGGCGUGUGUGUUA
This is a long non-coding RNA of Etheostoma cragini (Arkansas darter), 399 nucleotides long. RefSeq lists it as uncharacterized. The record is from RefSeq and is a predicted model, not a curated record. The transcript has 3 exons. NCBI's taxonomy places the organism in Eukaryota, Metazoa, Chordata, Actinopteri, Perciformes, Percidae.